UUAGGUCUUCUUUUAUUUUCUCUUUUUUUUUCUUAUGACAUGAGUAGCUAAUCUCAUAGAUUUUUCGUUGGGAUGUAAGAAUUGAGCCAUGAUACUCUCCCUAAAGAUAUAGGGUCGGCAAUUUGUUGGAUUAUUGGAUUUGAAUAAAUGAUUUCUUGAUUGUUGUACUUUAAACCUAGUUCUUGCCAAGACUUGAAUGGGGUAAAAUCUAUGACUUCUUUUGCUUGAAGACUUGGAUUUCAUAUGUUAGCAAUCUAAGAUAGAAGAAAGCUAUCAGUGGAUCAC
This 285-nucleotide long non-coding RNA is filed under the name Linum usitatissimum (flax). RNAcentral describes it as "long non-coding RNA (LUSI_LNC005461)". Lineage: Eukaryota; Viridiplantae; Streptophyta; Magnoliopsida; Malpighiales; Linaceae. The record is from RNAcentral.